This 217-nucleotide ribosomal RNA is filed under the name uncultured bacterium. RNAcentral's name for it is "partial 16S ribosomal RNA". It matches the Rfam family "Bacterial small subunit ribosomal RNA", at positions 1285 to 1500 of the family's 1533-position model. The record is from RNAcentral.
GUCCCAGUUCGGACUGUAGUCUGCAACCCGACUACACGAAGCUGGAAUCGCUAGUAAUCGCGGAUCAGAAUGCCGCGGUGAAUACGUUCCCGGGUCUUGUACACACCGCCCGUCACACCAUGGGAGUCGGAAAUGCCCGAAGCCGGUGGCCUAACCGAUAAGGGAGGAGCCGUCGAAGGCAGGUCUGAUGACUGGGGUGAAGUCGUAACAAGGUACC